This 284-nucleotide long non-coding RNA is filed under the name Elaeis guineensis (African oil palm). Its description in RNAcentral is "long non-coding RNA (EGUI_LNC021844)". The record is from RNAcentral. Lineage: Eukaryota; Viridiplantae; Streptophyta; Magnoliopsida; Arecales; Arecaceae.
UUAUUGACUAAUUAUUCCACUGUGAAGCAUUGAUAUCGUGAUAAGAUACCUUGUAUGUUUAUAAAAAGAGUUCCUACGAGCAUACGGUAGUUGUCAUGACUCUCGAUUUAUAAUCUCAGAUUGGAAGCGUGACAAUAAUAAUGAUUAGUUUAGUGAUGGGUCAGAUCAACUUUCAAUACAUUCAUGGAUCAAAGUUGUUGCCAGAGAUAAUGAGCGAAUCAUAUUGGAAAGGUGGGACUUUUAGUCCAUGUGCUUUUGAUUUAAUUUUCUUUCGUGUAGGCCCG